CCUACGGGAGGCAGCAGUGAGGAAUAUUGGACAAUGGGCGCAAGCCUGAUCCAGCCAUGCCGCGUGCAGGAUGACGGUCCUAUGGAUUGUAAACUGCUUUUGCACAGGAAGAAACAACAUUACGUGUAAUGUCUUGACGGUACUGUGAGAAUAAGGAUCGGCUAACUCCGUGCCAGCAGCCGCGGUAAUACGGAGGAUCCAAGCGUUAUCCGGAAUCAUUGGGUUUAAAGGGUCCGUAGGCGGUUUAGUAAGUCAGUGGUGAAAGCCCAUCGCUCAACGGUGGAACGGCCAUUGAUACUGCUAAACUUGAAUUAUUAGGAAGUAACUAGAAUAUGUAGUGUAGCGGUGAAAUGCUUAGAGAUUACAUGGAAUACCAAUUGCGAAGGCAGGUUACUACUAAUAUAUUGACGCUGAUGGACGAAAGCGUGGGUAGCGAACAGGAUUAGAUACCCUGGUAGUCCACGACGUAACGAUAGAUACUAGCUGUUGGUAGGACAAUACUCAGUGGCGUAGACGAAGUAGAGUAAGUA
RNAcentral lists this ribosomal RNA (530 nucleotides) under uncultured bacterium. RNAcentral describes it as "bacterial SSU rRNA". It matches the Rfam family "Bacterial small subunit ribosomal RNA", at positions 338 to 866 of the family's 1533-position model. The record is from RNAcentral.